AGCUUUGUGCAGUGGCAGAGCCAGUGAGGUUUAUCCAAGGUGCUAUUAUUGCUGAUUGAAAACUUUUCCCAAUACCCUGCCACGAUGACUUGCAAUAUAAUUGGCAUUGGCAAUUUUUGACAGUCCCUAGGGGGA
RNAcentral lists this small nuclear RNA (135 nucleotides) under Microcebus murinus (gray mouse lemur). RNAcentral describes it as "U4 spliceosomal RNA (ENSMICG00000043175.1)". It matches the Rfam family "U4 spliceosomal RNA". Rfam says of the family: U4 small nuclear RNA (U4 snRNA) is a component of the major U2-dependent spliceosome. The structure of U4 snRNA from yeast and human has been reported. The record is from Rfam by way of RNAcentral. Lineage: Eukaryota; Metazoa; Chordata; Mammalia; Primates; Cheirogaleidae.